This 325-nucleotide long non-coding RNA is filed under the name Fukomys damarensis (Damara mole-rat). Its description in RNAcentral is "lncRNA (ENSFDAG00000028804.1)". Lineage: Eukaryota; Metazoa; Chordata; Mammalia; Rodentia; Bathyergidae. The record is from RNAcentral.
AUGCAUUUAUCAAUGGACUCAGCAGAAACAGAGACAACAUAUUUUUGGCUGAAGCCCGAUGGUCAGGUCCUGACAGAAUUGAUCCACCAACAAGGCAGAGCACAGUGUGGGGGCAGCAAACACAGGACACACAUGUGGCCCCUCUGCACUCCAGCAGCCUCACAGGAGGAGCUCCCGGAUUCUAGGACUCCUGCUGCCGAGCACUUGUCCUCGGUGAGACUUCUCAGUCCUCAUGCUCCAGGCAGCCGCUACCAAUGACUUUGAGUUGAUAGAAAAGUUAACAAAGUUUUUCUCUGGAAUAGCAGAAAGUGUAAAAACAUCCCAG